This 167-nucleotide microRNA precursor is filed under the name Pelobates cultripes (western spadefoot toad). Lineage: Eukaryota; Metazoa; Chordata; Amphibia; Anura; Pelobatidae. The record is from RNAcentral.
GGUCAGCUGACACAUCCUGGCCAAUUUCCAGCAGACCCUCCCUCCCAGACCCUCCUACUUCCUGGACAGCAUCCAUGUUGAAGGCAGCUUCAACAUGGAUGCUGUCCAGGAGGUGGGAGGGUCUGGGAGGGAGGGUCUGCCGGAGAUUGGCAGGGAUGUGUCAGCUG